This 441-nucleotide ribosomal RNA is filed under the name uncultured bacterium. Its description in RNAcentral is "partial 16S ribosomal RNA". It matches the Rfam family "Bacterial small subunit ribosomal RNA", at positions 338 to 795 of the family's 1533-position model. The record is from RNAcentral.
CCUACGGGAGGCAGCAGUGGGGGAUAUUGCACAAUGGGGGGAACCCUGAUGCAGCGACGCCGCGGGGGUGAAGGAGCGUUUCGGCGCGUAAAGCCCUAUCGGCAGGGACGAAGGAGGCCGGUACCUGCCUACGAAGCGCCGGCUAACUAGGUGCCAGCAGCCGCGGUAAUACGUAGGGGGCAGGGGUGAUCCGGAUUUACUGGGUGUAAAGGGGGCACAGCCGGCAGCGCCAGCCAGGAGUGAAAGCCCGGGGCCCAACCCCGGGACUGCUCUUGGAACUGCGCGGCGUGAGUGCAGGAGGGGCAAGCGGAAUUCCUGGUGUAGCGGUGAAAUGCGUAGAUAUCAGGAGGAACACCGGUGGCGAAGGCGGCCUGCUGGACUGCGACUGACGCUGAGGCCCGAAAGCGUGGGGAGCAAACAGGAUUAGAUACCCGAGUAGUC